UGCCAAUUAGCGAGGCUGGCGCUGGCUCCCGGACCUCCAUUCUCACCGUGUGGCUGCAGCAGGAAGGUUCGCCAUCGCUGUGAUUAACUGGCGGUAUUCAGCCAGGAGUCAGUCAACGAAAAGGGGCCGAUCGCAGAUGACAAGAGCAGGGGGUGUGCGCGUCACCUCUGCUGUCCGACCUCGCAGAUCAGUGCUGAGCCCCACGGCACAAGUGAUUAACAGCUGAGGCCCCGAAGUCAGCCCAGGGAGCGGAGCCAGGACAGGGACAGGGUCGCAACGCUACAGCGGUAGCUGCCAGCUCCCACUGGCUUCAUCAGCCAGGCCAGCCACCUGCUAAGCACCAACUGUAUGCCCUCCACCUCAGUGCCAGGCUGCGGGCUACUCCAGCACUCAGGGGGGAGUCAGGGUAGGCCACAGGCGCUCCAGGUCAACAGUGAGCAUGGGGGACACAGAGGGGAAUCAGACCCUCUGGUUAAGGCUCAGAGUAGACCCUCUCCUCAUCCAUCCCACACAGUGCUGUGGACCCUGGGCCUGUUACCAUACUCAGAGGUGACAGCAGCAGAGGUAACGGUCUCCAAGAUAUCUUUGUGCAAUGCCAGCAUCCAGGGCCAGGGCCACCCAGAACCCCAGGUGAGAGACUCUGCGGCAGUCAGCAAGCGGCCAAGCCACAGAGGGUCCCGCCCAGCCUUUCAGAAAGUCGCCAGUUGGGCCUCAUCCCCGAUCCCCACUCAGUGCAAAACCAGACGCCCCUGUGCCUGCUCCAGGGGCCACUUCUGUCCCCACGUCAACUUUCACACAUCUCCAGGAAGUAUUCACGCAGCAGGAGCUUUGCUGGAGUGCGCCCCAGAGCCAGGGUCACCUGCUACAAAAGCCAGAGUGAGUGACCUGUUUGUGUUACUACUGGGAGCAAGGGGCUCCCACAAACCCCAAGGGCUGUCCCAGCCUGGAGACAAGGGACUCAGGCGAGCAAGGCUGGCCAGCAACCAGCCAGCCCUUCACUUGAGGAUGCCACAGGCCAGCGGGCAGACAAGGAGCACAGAAGCUCGGCUGUGCCAGUCUCGGCUCAGCCUCCUUUCCUCGACGUGUACUCAGUGGGAUGGGAG
This 1103-nucleotide long non-coding RNA is filed under the name Castor canadensis (American beaver). Its description in RNAcentral is "lncRNA (ENSCCNG00000002742.1)". Lineage: Eukaryota; Metazoa; Chordata; Mammalia; Rodentia; Castoridae. The record is from RNAcentral.